RNAcentral lists this unclassified non-coding RNA (929 nucleotides) under Hevea brasiliensis (rubber tree). The record is from RNAcentral. Lineage: Eukaryota; Viridiplantae; Streptophyta; Magnoliopsida; Malpighiales; Euphorbiaceae.
AUUGAUAGUUUCAUUUCAAGCAAGCAUACGACCCAUGUGACAGGUCAGAUAAACAUAAAUAGGAACCGAGACAUCACAUAAAUAGAGUUGAUCCUCCGAUGUCCGACCAUUCAAAGCCCACAAGGCAACAGUUACUUUCUUAAAGAUCCAACAGCAGAAAAGGAAAUUUUCAUAUCCGACAAAACCAUUAACAGACGACAGCAACUUCUUCUAGCUUUAGACCAGCAACUCCAUCUCCGUGAUUGCAGCCUAUCCUGCAAUGAAAACGUUAACGGUAGCUCCCCCCGCUGGAGCGUUCAUACGGACCCGAACGGUCCCGACUAUAGCGGUCACUUCCAGAGCCACUUCGACUAUCCCCGUCUCUACUGCGUCCCCCACCACCAUAUCGGUCUCCAUUACGAUCAGGACCAUAACGACUACCACCACCACUACCACCGCCAUACCUAUCAUCCCGACCACCACCAUACCUAUCAUCCCGACCACCAUACCGAUCACCUCUUCCACCACCAUCACCAGAUGGACACUCCCUAGCAAAAUGCCCAUGCUUGCCACAUUUGAAGCACUCUCCACUGUUAGAGCCUCGGCCCCCGCCAUAGUCUCGACCACGGUCACGACCACCACGAUCACGGUCAGAAUCCCGGUCUCCACCGCGAUCCCUACCCGAGCCAGGCUGUGCUUUAUCCACAGUGAUAGAUCGCCCAUCUAAAUCUACACCAUUCAUAUCUUCGAUUGCUUCUUCCAUGGCUUUCUUUUCAUCAAAGGUGAUAAAGCCAAAUCCACGUGAACGACCAGUAUCCCUGUCCAUAACUACCUUAGCCUCAGUAAGAUGCCCAAAUUUUGAAAAUGCUUCUUUCAACCCCCUAUCAGUCGUUGACCAGGCAAGGCCUCCAAUGAAACAGCGGUAUUCCAUUUCAGACAUGUUUGCUGAU